GGGUACAUCUGCCGAAACCUUAGUGGAUUGAUUAAGCGACUCUAAACAAGUAUAAUCCUCGAGGCAUGCCCUCGAGCACUAGCCAUUUUGAUGGUGACAUUACCAAUAUGCGGGAACUGUCAAGUAUGUUGGCUAACCCGCAGCCACGAAUGUGGCUCACAGGCUAAAUGGUAAUGGGCGUCGCUGCGCAGCAGCAACGCUUCAGAUAUAGUCGGUCCCUGGAUACCUCUAGGAGACCUGUGGAUGGGUGACUUCCGCCCAUCCAUACAGGCGAGCAAAACGUUCCGUAGGUGAACCUGCGGAAGGAUCAUUAC
RNAcentral lists this ribosomal RNA (314 nucleotides) under Usnea bismolliuscula. RNAcentral's name for it is "partial 18S ribosomal RNA". The stretch from base 20 to 234 matches the Rfam family "Group I catalytic intron". Rfam says of the family: Group I catalytic introns are large self-splicing ribozymes. They catalyse their own excision from mRNA, tRNA and rRNA precursors in a wide range of organisms. The core secondary structure consists of 9 paired regions (P1-P9). The record is from RNAcentral. Lineage: Eukaryota; Fungi; Ascomycota; Lecanoromycetes; Lecanorales; Parmeliaceae.